Molecule: small nucleolar RNA, 70 nt
Organism: Bombina bombina (fire-bellied toad)
Lineage: Eukaryota; Metazoa; Chordata; Amphibia; Anura; Bombinatoridae
Product: small nucleolar RNA SNORD18
Exons: 1
Source: RefSeq, a predicted model, not a curated record
CUUCUAUGAUGAGAUCCACUUCUGGUCCGUGUUUCUGAAACUCAAUGAUCUCAGUGGAAGUUCUGACAAA